CAGCAGCCGCCGCGGUAAUACAGAGGGUGCAAGCGUUAAUCGGAAUUACUGGGCGUAAAGCGCGCGUAGGUGGUUUGUUAAGUUGGAUGUGAAAGCCCCGGGCUCAACCUGGGAACUGCAUCCAAAACUGGCAAGCUAGAGUACGGUAGAGGGUGGUGGAAUUUCCUGUGUAGCGGUGAAAUGCGUAGAUAUAGGAAGGAACACCAGUGGCGAAGGCGACCACCUGGACUGAUACUGACACUGAGGUGCGAAAGCGUGGGGAGCAAACAGGAUUAGAUACCCCCGUAGUCCCUGUCUCUUAUAC
RNAcentral lists this ribosomal RNA (304 nucleotides) under uncultured bacterium. RNAcentral describes it as "partial 16S ribosomal RNA". It matches the Rfam family "Bacterial small subunit ribosomal RNA", at positions 506 to 807 of the family's 1533-position model. The record is from RNAcentral.